GUCAGCAGGCCACAGUGCAUGGAAUGCCCUUAGGAAAAACCAACAGGAUCAGUCCUCAAAGCAAAGCACAACUUGCAUUUGCCUUUGCCCCCACAAUAGACAGUAAAUAAAGGCAGUGAUCAAACAGGGCAGGACUUAGGGGGGCUGGGACAUCGCCCUGGGGGGAGCUGCUCCCACAGCAGGCUGCACAGCUCAGCAUGCAGGCGGGUCCUGAAUACUUCCAUUGAAGGAGACCCCACACCUCCCUGGGCAGCCCAUCCCAGUGCUCCAUCACCCUCGCCAUGAAGAAGUUCCUUCACAUUUUGGUGCGGAACUUCCUGUGCUCCAGUGUGUGGCCGUUUCCCCUUGUCCUGUCCCCACAGACCACUGAGAUGAGGUUGGCCAUGUCCCUUUGUCUCCCACACUGAAUAUAUUUAUAAGCACUAAUCACAUUCUUUCUCAGUCUUCCCCAGGCCGAGCAGCUCCACGUCACGCAGCCUUCCCCCACAGGGAGAUGCUCCAGGCCUUCUCAGCUCUGUUAUCAGGAUGCCAUGGGAGAUAACACCAAAAGCCUUGCUGACAUCCACUUGCACCAAAAGCCUUGCAGAUGACAUCCACUCCUCCCCCCGCACCUACCCGGCUGGUGAUGCCAUCAUAGAAGGCUACGAGGCACAGAGGGUACCUUCUUACUUCCUCAUCAACACAGCAAUUGGGGUUUCGUGAGUGGAACAAAUGUGCAACAGCCCCGAGCUGCGAGGAGGAGUCAGGAGAGAGAUUCCGUGCAGUGCUGCAGCACGGUGCAUCCGCAGGGCACUGCCCACAGCACCGUGCACUGCCUGCAGCACCGUGCACUGCCUGCAGCACUGAGCACUACCCGCAGCACCGUGCAUUCCCUGCAGCACCGUUCUCUACCU
This 893-nucleotide long non-coding RNA is filed under the name Gallus gallus (chicken). RNAcentral's name for it is "long non-coding RNA NONGGAT005103". Lineage: Eukaryota; Metazoa; Chordata; Aves; Galliformes; Phasianidae. The record is from RNAcentral.